RNAcentral lists this long non-coding RNA (590 nucleotides) under Equus asinus (donkey). RNAcentral describes it as "lncRNA (ENSEASG00005025607.1)". The record is from RNAcentral. Lineage: Eukaryota; Metazoa; Chordata; Mammalia; Perissodactyla; Equidae.
GGCUUAGUAGCAUUAUUUGUUUUAAUUGAGAAUAUAGAAUUCCAGAGAGCAGAGGUGAUUUGGCAAAGCUAAUGCAACUAAAUUUCAUUCCACAGAAGCAUUAAUAGCUAACAGUCAUUGUGUUUACUAUCUGUGUUACGAGUACUUUUUUCUCAUUUAAUUCUCCCACAACUCUAUAGACUGUAUUACUUGCCCCAUUUUAUGGAUGAAGAAACUAAGCCUUGCAGAAAUUUUUAAAUUGCCCCCAUUUGCACAACUAGAAGGAGGCAAAGCCUGGAAUUUUACAUUGGAGUAUAUGACUCCCAGUACGUAGUUGUGUAUUUUUAGUUGUGGGUCCUUCUAGUUGUGGCAUGUGGGAUGCCGCCUCAGCAUGGCUUGAGGAGUAGUGCCAUGUCCGCGCCCAGGAUUCGAACCGGCGAAACCCUGGGCUGCUGAAGCAGAGCACGCGAACUUGACCACUUGGCCAUGGGGCCGGCCCCUCAAGUUGACUUUUAAACCUCUCAUUCUGAUGUUACAGCUUUUGGACAAAAGCUCCAAAGCUAUUAUCAGAAAAAAAUGCAUAUGAAGCAGCAAACUUCCACGUGCGUGAG